Molecule: long non-coding RNA, 522 nt
Filed under: Polistes fuscatus (common paper wasp)
Lineage: Eukaryota; Metazoa; Arthropoda; Insecta; Hymenoptera; Vespidae
Description: uncharacterized LOC122516232
Source: RNAcentral
AUGCGAAGAAUUCGCCCUAGAGAGGCAGCACAUCACGCAAAGAAUGUACCUUUUGUGCAUAAAGGGUUGCAGCAAGCAACACACGCCUUUUUAAGAGACGAUACGAUACGGCAACCGCUACAACCACCGUAUCACGGCCCUUAUGAAAUUUUGGCUCGAGUUAACCAGAAGCUUUACACGGUGUUGAUGUUACAGAAUUCCAGCAGGACACAGCGCAAGCUUCGCAGGUCCCUGAAUUAAGAACAUACCCGGGCGCUAAAGCCAAACAACGAGUCAACUUGUAGAACUCUGGAGGGGAGUACUUUGGCGCUCCGACUGGCGGUGGUGCAAUCAUUACAUGUGAUUGGACAGCUGUCCCGCCAAUAGAAAGCCGCGACAUCCCGGGCAGAGGAAAAAGGGACUAGGGAGCGGGCAGAGGAGUUAGUUACUAAAGAGAGGGGAUAAAGAAAAGAAAGACACAUGUACCCGUUGUAAAAGAUUUGUUAUUUCAACGUUGUUAAAAUAUAUCGUUGUUAUUUGUUA